GCCGGGGUAGCUCAGUGGCAGAGCAGCUGAUUCGUAAUCAGCAGGUCGCGGGUUCAAGUCCCGCCCCCGGCUCCA
RNAcentral lists this transfer RNA (75 nucleotides) under Candidatus Rokuibacteriota bacterium. Its description in RNAcentral is "tRNA-Thr". It matches the Rfam family "tRNA". Rfam says of the family: Transfer RNA (tRNA) molecules are approximately 80 nucleotides in length. Their secondary structure includes four short double-helical elements and three loops (D, anti-codon, and T loops). Lineage: Bacteria; Candidatus Rokuibacteriota. The record is from RNAcentral.